UGGUGGGUAGUUUGACUGGGGCGGUCUCCUCCUAAAGAGUAACGGAGGAGCACGAAGGUUGGCUAAUCCUGGUCGGACAUCAGGAGGUUAGUGCAAUGGCAUAAGCCAGCUUGACUGCGAGCGUGACGGCGCGAGCAGGUGCGAAAGCAGGUCAUAGUGAUCCGGUGGUUCUGAAUGGAAGGGCCAUCGCUCAACGGAUAAAAGGUACUCCGGGGAUAACAGGCUGAUACCGCCCAAGAGUUCAUAUCGACGGCGGUGUUUGGCACCUCGAUGUCGGCUCAUCACAUCCUGGGGCUGAAGUAGGUCCCAAGGGUAUGGCUGUUCGCCAUUUAAAGUGGUACGCGAGCUGGGUUUAGAACGUCGUGAGACAGUUCGGUCCCUAUCUGCCGUGGGCGCUGGAGAACUGAGGGGGGCUGCUCCUAGUACGAGAGGACCGGAGUGGACGCAUCACUGGUGUUCGGGUUGUCAUGCCAAUGGCACUGCCCGGUAGCUAAAUGCGGAAGAG
This 505-nucleotide ribosomal RNA is filed under the name Escherichia coli. RNAcentral describes it as "partial 23S ribosomal RNA". It matches the Rfam family "Bacterial large subunit ribosomal RNA", at positions 2259 to 2763 of the family's 2925-position model. Lineage: Bacteria; Pseudomonadati; Pseudomonadota; Gammaproteobacteria; Enterobacterales; Enterobacteriaceae. RNAcentral also lists the same sequence under 2 other names. The record is from RNAcentral.